RNAcentral lists this ribosomal RNA (301 nucleotides) under uncultured bacterium. RNAcentral's name for it is "partial 16S ribosomal RNA". It matches the Rfam family "Bacterial small subunit ribosomal RNA", at positions 509 to 809 of the family's 1533-position model. The record is from RNAcentral.
CAGCCGCCGCGGUAAUACGAAGGGGGCUAGCGUUGUUCGGAAUUACUGGGCGUAAAGCGCACGUAGGCGGAUAUUUAAGUCAGGGGUGAAAUCCCAGAGCUCAACUCUGGAACUGCCUUUGAUACUGGGUAUCUUGAGUAUGGAAGAGGUGAGUGGAAUUCCGAGUGUAGAGGUGAAAUUCGUAGAUAUUCGGAGGAACACCAGUGGCGAAGGCGGCUCACUGGUCCAUUACUGACGCUGAGGUGCGAAAGCGUGGGGAGCAAACAGGAUUAGAUACCCGCGUAGUCCCUGUCUCUUAUAU